CGGCAACAGCUCAAAUUUGAAAUCUGGCUCUUUCAGGGUCCGAGUUGUAAUUUGUAGAAGAUGCUUCGGGUGUGGCUCCGGUCUAAGUUCCUUGGAACAGGACGUCAUAGAGGGUGAGAGCCCCGUCUGGUUGGAUGCCGAGCCUCUGUAAAGCUCCUUCGAC
This 163-nucleotide ribosomal RNA is filed under the name Helotiales sp. RNAcentral describes it as "partial large subunit ribosomal RNA". It matches the Rfam family "Eukaryotic large subunit ribosomal RNA", at positions 99 to 261 of the family's 3401-position model. Lineage: Eukaryota; Fungi; Ascomycota; Leotiomycetes; Helotiales. The record is from RNAcentral.